AGUGAACGCUGGCGGUAGGCCUAACACAUGCAAGUCGAACGGCAGCACAGUAAGAGCUUGCUCUUACGGGUGGCGAGUGGCGGACGGGUGAGGAAUACAUCGGAAUCUACUUUUUCGUGGGGGAUAACGUAGGGAAACUUACGCUAAUACCGCAUACGACCUACGGGUGAAAGCAGGGGAUCUUCGGACCUUGCGCGAUUGAAUGAGCGGAUGUCGGAUUAGCUAGUUGGCGGGGUAAAGGCCAACCAAGGCGACGAUCCGUAGCUGGUCUGAGAGGAUGGUCAGCCGCACUGGAGCUGAGACACGGUCCAGACUCCUACGGGAGGCAGCAGUGGGGAAUAUUGGACAAUGGGCGCAAGCCUGAUCCAGCCAUACCGCGUGUGUUAAGAAGGCCUUCGGGUUGUAAAGCCCUUUUGUUGGGAAAGAAAAGCAGCAGGUUAAUACCCCGCUGUUCUGACGGUACCCAAAGAAUAAGCACCGGCUAACUUCGUG
Molecule: ribosomal RNA, 492 nt
Filed under: uncultured bacterium
Lineage: Bacteria
Description: partial 16S ribosomal RNA
Rfam family: Bacterial small subunit ribosomal RNA
Source: RNAcentral